This 913-nucleotide ribosomal RNA is filed under the name uncultured Russula. RNAcentral's name for it is "eukaryotic LSU rRNA". The stretch from base 439 to 592 matches the Rfam family "5.8S ribosomal RNA". The record is from RNAcentral. Lineage: Eukaryota; Fungi; Basidiomycota; Agaricomycetes; Russulales; Russulaceae.
AGGGCUGUCGCUGACCUCCAAAGGUUGUGCACGCCCGAGCGCUCUCACACAAUCCAUCUCACACCCCUUUGUGCAUCACCGCGAGGGUCCCAGUGGCUGUAACGGCCCCAAGGUGGGAAUGCGAGGCGAUGUUUUCCCCAACGGAGUCCCGUGCUCGUGCGCCGAGUUCAAGACUGUCCCCUCCAGAAAACUUUGGUGUCCAUCGUCCCUCACAGCGUAGGCUGUGGUCGGAUUUGGAGUAAUCGGCCCUUGUCUAGCCAGGGAAGCAAUUCCGCAGCUAGCAGGACUCACCGAGUUGGUCUUAGGAGAUCAGGGCACGUCAUCUGUCGCGCGGGUGCGCCGUGUCCCUCGUAGACCUUUAUACCUCGCGUUUCCACACAAACCUCUGAUACAGUGUAGAAUGUUAUUUUACCUUUUGCGGUCACACGCAAUCAAUACAACUUUCAACAACGGAUCUCUUGGCUCUCGCAUCGAUGAAGAACGCAGCGAAAUGCGAUACGUAAUGUGAAUUGCAGAAUUCAGUGAAUCAUCGAAUCUUUGAACGCACCUUGCGCCCCUUGGCAUUCCGAGGGGCACACCCGUUUGAGUGUCGUGAAACCAUCAAAACCUUUUUCUCUUUGAUCCCAAAUUUAUUUUGGUCGGGAAAAGGAUUUUGGACUUGGAGGUUCCAUGCUCGCUUUCUUUUGAAAGCGAGCUCCUCUCAAAUGAAUCAGUGGGGUCCGCUUUGCCGAUCCUUGACGUGAUAAGAUGCUUCUACGUUUUGGAUUUGGCACUGUCCCUUGGAUGCCUGCUUCUAACCGUCCCAUGGACAAAGAUGGUGCUCCGGUCAACCGCCGUCUACGUUGGCGGGGGGAGGCUGGACCCACAAGAAGAAAACCUUGACCUCAAAUCGGGUGAGACUACCCGCUGAAUU